This 661-nucleotide ribosomal RNA is filed under the name uncultured fungus. Its description in RNAcentral is "eukaryotic LSU rRNA". It matches the Rfam family "Eukaryotic large subunit ribosomal RNA", at positions 24 to 664 of the family's 3401-position model. The record is from RNAcentral. Lineage: Eukaryota; Fungi.
CCCGCUGAACUUAAGCAUAUCAAUAAGCGGAGGAAAAGAAACUAACAAGGAUUCCCCUAGUAACGGCGAGUGAAGCGGGAAGAGCUCAAAUUUAAAAUCUGGCGGUUUUGCCGUCCGAGUUGUAAUCUGGAGAAGUGUUUUCCGCGUCGGACCGUGUACAAGUCUCUUGGAACAGAGCGUCGUAGAGGGUGAGAAUCCCGUCUUUGACACGGACUACCGAUGCUAUGUGAUGCACUCUCGAAGAGUCGAGUUGUUUGGGAAUGCAGCUCAAAAUGGGUGGUAAAUUCCAUCUAAAGCUAAAUAUUGGCGAGAGACCGAUAGCGAACAAGUACCGUGAGGGAAAGAUGAAAAGCACUUUGGAAAGAGAGUUAAACAGUACGUGAAAUUGUUGAAAGGGAAACGCUUGAAGUCAGUCGCGUCUUCCGAGAUUCAGCCUUGCUUCUGCUUGGUGUACUUCUCGGUCGACGGGUCAACAUCAGUUUUGCUCGGUGGAUAAAGGCGGGAGAAAUGUGGCAUCGUUCGCGAUGUGUUAUAGUCUCUCCGUUGCAUACACCGAGCGGGACUGAGGAACUCAGCACGCCUUCUCGGAGGUCGGGGUUCGCCCACGUUCGUGCUUAGGAUGUUGACAUAAUGGCUUUAAACGACCCGUCUUGAAACACGG